RNAcentral lists this long non-coding RNA (2040 nucleotides) under Astyanax mexicanus (Mexican tetra). Its description in RNAcentral is "lncRNA (ENSAMXG00005007626.1)". Lineage: Eukaryota; Metazoa; Chordata; Actinopteri; Characiformes; Acestrorhamphidae. The record is from RNAcentral.
CUCGUAUUUAUUACUGAAUUUUCCUUUAAGGAAGGACCCACAUUCUAAAAAAAACCAAAAAAAAAAAAACCAAUGGAAUGCAGACAACUGGCGAAAUACUAGUCUGGUCUUGUUUUGUGUUUAAGCUCUUUAAGAGCUUCUGAACAUUUUUAGUUUCGUUCUCAUCUUUUUACAGUUAACAGAGAGGGAGAGAGACCCAGACGUGUAAAAUCUAAAGAUAAAAGAUAACAUGGCAUUCUGCAGACCUGCUGUCUCUGUCCUGAUCUUACUGCUGUAUUUACAUGGAGUUGUCUGUGCACCAGCUUCAGCUGAAGUAACAGUGAAGGCGUAUCUUAAUGACUCUGCGACCCUGCCCUGCUCUGGACAACACUCAGGGACAGUCGUGUGGGUCAUGCUCGAGAAACCUGAUCAUGUUGUGGCUUGGUGUAAUCAAACAUCAUGCUGGUCAGAGCACGGGUUUGAGAUGUCUCAUGAUAAUUACCGGAAUGGAACUUUCUCCCUGAACAUCACUGCAGUUGAGCACAGUAAUGCCGGCCUGUACCAGUGCCUGGAUGACCAUAAGAUCAUCAGUGAUGUCCGGCUUAAGGUUGAGAAUAUUCCCUCCAUAAACGUGGACCGGUACCACAGUGUUGUUCUCCCUUGCCAUGGGAUAUCUCCUGGUUUGGUAACCUGGGUCAAAAAUGAUAAACCCUCUGAUCCUCUGGCUGAGUGUGAUCGGACUUCCUGCAGAUCAGUGAAGGAGGGAUAUCAGAUGAUCUAUGAUCAAUACCUGCAGGGAGAUUUCUCUCUGAUCAUCACUGAAGCUGAUUUCAGUAAGAGAGGGAAUUACACGUGUCAGUGUGAUAGUUUCCUCUUUCGUGUGCAGCUUCUCAUAAAUCCUCUGAAUUCCCCAGUUCAUAUACAGUCUGGUGAUUCUCUGGUGCUGGCUUUAGACCUACACGAUCCAUUGGAGGUGAUCUAUAAAAGAAGUGGAGCAGCCCAUCAAACCAGUGUUCAGAUCUGUACUCUGUAUGGACGCUCACUCCACUGUAUUGAUAAAUAUAAAAAUAGAGUGUUUCUACAUUCUGCUCUGGAGCUGAGUGGAAUGAACGUGUCUGAUAGUGGAGUGUACACCAUGAGGACCAUCGAGAAUAAAGAGGAUAUUCACAUCUACACCGUGAAUGUUACAGAUUACCAACGUCCACCCCUCCCCUCACCCCUGGAUGGAAAAGUCAUUUGCAUCAGUUUUUUUUUGUGUAUAUCAGUGAUUAUUAAUGUGAUUUUGGUGGUUAGGCUUUGCGUAUUGAAAAGGCAGCACAAAAAGGCAAAUGUUACCUGUGUCCUGAAAAACAGAUGUUGUAGAAAUGAAGAUGCAAAUGAGAGUACAGCAGAAGAACAGAUACUGCAAACUGAGCAACAAUAAGCCAUAACUCUGAGAGAUUAUUUUUAUUACAAAUAUUUGCAUCAGUGUGGUGUGUUGGCACUAAUUCAGGGCUUUACUGUAGAAGAUUAUAUUAUAUUAUAUUAUCUUCACUCAAUCACAACUGAAACCUUUAUUCCUGAAUAUACAUAGGAGCUUUACAUUUUAAAUUCCUUCUUUCUUAUUGUGCUCCUCAGACUUAAAACACAAUUAUACCAUUACCUUACCAUAGCAUAUUAUUUCAUUGUCAAUUGUUCAUUGUUUUUUCGUGUGUAAUUGUAGUGAUGAUAUAUUAGAUUGAUUACAAUAUUAGUGUGAAAAGAUUUGUUUAUUGGGGGAAACUAUUACUAUUACUGUACUAUAAAUGAAAGGAAGCUCUAAUACUCUGUUUGAGCCUCUGAACAAUGUGAGAUAUGUAUGAAUAUAUAAUACAAAAAACAAGUAAGUGCUAUCUUUUAGAAAUACAUUUAUCUGUUAUUGCAAAUUAUAUCUUCCUACAUAUAUAUGUCUGUAUAUACGUACUUAAAGCUACUUGAUUACUAUCACUUUACUUCUCAACUUCUCCAACAUAUAGAAAAAUCUCCUUGGUAUUGUAAAUGACUAAACUUUUCUAAUAAUAAAGUUUGAAACAGUGGAUUACA